GACAGAGGGUGCAAACGUUGUUCGGAAUUACUGGGCGUAAAGCGCGCGUAGGCGGCAAUGCAUGUCGGGCGUGAAAUCCCACGGCUCAACCGUGGAAGUGCACUCGAAACUGCAUAGCUAGAGUCUCGGAGAGGAAGGCGGAAUGCUUGGUGUAGAGGUGAAAUUCGUAGAUAUCAAGCGGAACACCGGUGGCGAAGGCGGCCUUCUGGACGAUGACUGACGCUGAAGCGCGAAAGCGUGGGGAGCAAACAGG
This 253-nucleotide ribosomal RNA is filed under the name uncultured bacterium. RNAcentral's name for it is "partial 16S ribosomal RNA". It matches the Rfam family "Bacterial small subunit ribosomal RNA", at positions 524 to 776 of the family's 1533-position model. The record is from RNAcentral.